CCUACGGGUGGCAGCAGUCGAGAAUCAUUCACAAUGGGGGAAACCCUGAUGGUGCGACGCCGCGUGGGGGAAUGAAGGUCUUCGGAUUGUAAACCCCUGUCAUGUGGGAGCAAAUUAAAAAGAUAGUACCACAAGAGGAAGAGACGGCUAACGCUGUGCCAGCAGCCGCGGUAAUACAGAGGUCUCAAGCGUUGUUCGGAAUCACUGGGCGUAAAGCGUGCGUAGGCGGUUUCGUAAGUCGUAUGUGAAAGGCGCGGGCACAACCCGCGGACGGCACAUGAUACUGCGAGACUAGAGUAAUGGAGGGGGAACCGGAAUUCUCGGUGUAGCAGUGAAAUGCGUAGAUAUCGAGAGGAACACUCGUGGCGAAGGCGGGUUGCUGGACAUUAACUGACGCUGAGGCACGAAGGCCAGGGGAGCGAAAGGGAUUAGAUACCCCUGUAGUC
RNAcentral lists this ribosomal RNA (446 nucleotides) under uncultured bacterium. RNAcentral's name for it is "partial 16S ribosomal RNA". It matches the Rfam family "Bacterial small subunit ribosomal RNA", at positions 338 to 795 of the family's 1533-position model. The record is from RNAcentral.